AAAAAAAAAAAAAAAACCCAGUGCCAUUGAGUCGAUUCUGAUCUUUUUUUUUUUUUUUUUUUAGGUAAUGGAAAAUACAAUAGAUUAGUUUGAGAAUGAGGUGCAUAAAAAAGUAGCAACAGGAGAUAAAGCUGAAAAGACAGAUUGACAUCACAUAGUGGAAGAUUUUAAUGGCAUAUUAAUUAGAACAGGCUUUAUUCUAUAGUUAGAGCGAGUCACAGAAGGUUUUUGAGCUAGGGAGCUACUUGAUGAGAAUUAUGCUUUAGGAAAAUUUCUCUUUUAUCAGUGGGUAAGACAACUUUUUUGAGAAGAGAGAUUGGAUGUACAGAUAUUUAUUAUGAGGAAUUACACUAUACCUGAAGAUUAAGAUGGCAUAAACUAGAGCCGUGCUGUAAGGUAGACCUAUAUGUAGUGCUUUCUUAUAAUGAAAGAACUUGCAACUCUUUGGACCUAGGGUUUAGAAGAGAUAAUGUAAUGUUUCACUUUAAACAAUGGGGAAAAUGGUAGUGGCAUUAUUAGUAAAGAUAGUAAAGUAACCAGUUGGAGGAAUAAACAAUAUGAAUUUAACUUAGGAUUGUUGACAAGUGGAAACAUUUGUGAGUUCAGUGAUGAUGUUUAGGAGGAAAGCCUCGGCUAAAGCUACAUAGCUCUCCCAUCUGAAGUCUCUAUGACUUUGGCUCACAAAUGUUAUUGAAUGAAAACAUGUAUAGUAACAUCGUAUACAUUGAGUAGAACUCACCCAAAAGUUAAUUUUUAUUUAUGUUGAUUUGGUCUUGGUAAUCCUUGCCUCAGAUUGAGUCUUCCAAAAUUUAACAGCUUGUUUAAAUGUCUAUAGCACCUGUUACACAGAAAUUCUCUAAUUUAAUAAGCACUGAAUGCUUUACAUUAGUGAGCCCCUUCAGAAGCUGUACUCAUUAAAAGUUGUGAUGACAUAGACACCUUGGGAAAUUUGGGCCAUAUCUGCAUAGAAAUGAUAGUCAGUCAUCUUUUGGGUUUCCAAGAGAACCUUGAAGAAAUACUGUUGGUCCUUUUCCUGGAUUGGUCUUUUACAGAUUUGUGCCCUCUUGGACCUUGUUUGGAAACCCUGGUGGUAUAGUGGUUAAGUGCUAUGGCUGCUAAUCAAAAGGUCGGCAGUUUGAAUCCACCAGGAACUCCUUGGAAAUUCUGUGGGGCAGUUCUACUCUGUCCUAUAAGGUUGCUAUGAGUCGGAAUCGACUCUAUGGCAAUGGGUUUUUUUGGGACCUUGUUGGGGUGGGGGUUUGUUUACCCUUGCUGGCUUUCUCAUUCAUGUCUUCCUGUUAGCAAACUGUAACUAAUUUCCAUGUUAUUGCUUCCUCUAAGGACGUUUGCAUUUUAAUAACAGUCUCUUUGAAUACUCAAGAAGAAUUAAAUAUCUAAUAGAGGAUUUUUUAAAUAAUGAGGAUAUAUAUAUUUGUGUGUGUGUGUUUGAGGUGACCAGGAGAGCAUUUCCAACAUUCCUCACACCCUUACAGUACAACUUCUAAUUAGCUAUAUGUUAUAACACCAGCCCCAACUUCUAGACUGAAAUCAUAAAAUCUUCUGGGUUUUGAGAGGUCCUACACUCAAACCUCCCAGUUCAGGGCAGAAAUCCUAUCUUUAAAUUUCUUCGCCAAUAGUCAGCUAACCAUUAUCUGAACACUUUCCAGUUCUAUAAAUUUCACUAUUUCACAAGGUAGAGAAUUCAAGUUUUUUUUUUUUUCAUUGUUAAAAAUAAUAUUGCAUUAAUGAACUGAAAAUUCCAUCUUUGGAAUGUAAAUGCAUUACCCCUAGUUCUCUGCUCUGGGGCUACCCAGAACAGGUCUAAUGCCUGCCCUACAUGGAGCCACUGAAAUCAGAAAGGCAUUUAAUUUGCUCCUUGAAAUGCUACCUCACCCUCCUCUUCCCUUUUCCAGACCAAAUACCUUUGGUUUCCUUAAUAGACCGUCAUGAUCCUUUCUAGACUCCAUACCAUUACAUCUCCCUUACGAAAAUGCACCCAAUAUUGUUCAUAUUCCUCUUAUACUGUGCCUCCAGAACCGACAACACAGUAUUCCAGAUAUGGUCUGACAAGUAUGACACAGAGUGCCUCGUUGCCUCCUUUUAUGUAGUUGCUGCUCUCUUAUUAAUAUAGUUAACACUGCAUUAGCUUUGCUGGCAGCCAUCACAUUCUCCUACUAUGCUCCACUUUCAUUCAAAUAAAAACCUUUAGUUUUUCCUUUAUGUGUACUGAUGUCUGUCGGACCUCCCUUAUACUUGAUUUAUUUCAUUAAUAAUUUAACCUAAAAUCUUAUUCUUAACAUUUGACGUGAAAAAUGCAAUAUUAUUUUUUUGCCUCUCACCUAAUAAUAGAAGAUAAAAGGAAUACUAGAGUAAAACAGUUCUCUCUUGCUAGCCUGUUAUGAGUGUACCGUCUUCCAUAAGCAGCAGAUAGAUCUAUAAUUUCACUUUCUUGUUGUUGCAAGCUUAGCUUUAAAAGCCUUUUUUAUUAUCUUUAACAUUUUACAAGUAUUGGUUCUUUUCUGGUCUUUCAUCUUUCUGACCUUAUUCUACAUUGUAGUUCAACAUUAUAGGAUCAAUUCAGAUAAAGAGAAAGUGUUCUUUAAAAAAAAUAGGAUUUCUAUGCUAUAUUUUCUGACUUUACCAAAGCAUUCUGUGCCAUUGGUAUUUCCAACUACUGAGCAAAUGAAUUGAUUACAAAGUCUUACUGUGAAUAAUUCACGGUGGCAAGAUUGGAUGUACUAAUCAAGUCAAGAAAUUCAUCAAAUUUUUAAUUCCCUGGGAAGCAGGAUUUGGUGCCAGAACAAAUGUAAAGUUUCUGAAGAAGUCAUUUGAACUUCCUCUGUCAUUAUGAAAUAUAAACCGGCUGUAGAUAACGUGUCUGAAUUCCUGAGCAGUUCCGUUUGUUGAAUGUAUGUAGCCUCUAAAUCAAGUGGCAAGCCAUCAGCUUUCAAUCAGAUCUGUGGAGAAUAGAUGGUGACUAUUUUCCUGAGCAACUGUUGUAAGGGGAGCUAUUUGGGGCUAAUGCCAGGGAAGAUAGAAGAAACAAUUUAAGGCUGCUUUUAAGUGUCGCUUCAAAAUAAGGUGUUUCCUUUGGAAAUCAGAGAGACACGUGUCAUUUGUAUAAAUAAGGUUUUGGAUACGGUCUUCAUGUGACUGCUGAAGGGCAUAGUAUUUUUUCUUUGAAAGGCAACUGCAGCCAUAGUCUGGAAAAACAAAAUAAAGCAACAACAGCAGCAACAAAAACCCUAUGCCUAUAUACUGUUCAUAUUUGUCUUUUUAUCUGCUAAUCCUCGAUGUAAUACUCACUCACAUUCUUUAAUACAAUAGACAGCAAUGUGAGUAAUGCAAACUUGAGAUCUAAAUGUACUUGGUAAGCAAGCAAGGUUACACAUUUCAUUCUUAGGAAGAUUACGUCUUCCUCAUUUGUUUAUAUUUACUAUGAUUUUACGUGGUUUAGCCUUAAAUAUAAUGCCCUUUAUAUUAUCAGAAUCGUUAGUAUAUUUCUUUACUCAUAUAUCUAGAACAUUAUCAGAUAAGUGUUGAAUCAAAAGGAAUGCUGCUAAGUCCCUGAAGACAAACUGUCUUUCCAACCUGUUUUGAGUAACAAAUGAUAAUGCCACAUUUUUAGUGAUGUGGGGGAGAGUGUUGCUGUUAAGGUGCCUCUUUUGGGGGCCUUCUGUUUGCUGGACAUUUUUAUUAGGCAUUUAGUUUAGUAUUCCUGGCCAUCCUAAAGUACUUGCAUUAGCCUUGUGUAACAAACCAGGAAACAAGCCUUUAAGUAACUACCAAAGUUCCCUUAGACACAUGGCUGGUGAAGAUUGAACAGCGUAUGACAAAGCCCAUGUUCUUUCUAUUCUAUAUCAUGGGGCCUCUUUCUGUCUGUCAUUUGUGAGUGUAUGCAUAUGGUUGGUGGUGGUAGCGAUGGUGGUAUUAUCGAUGAUGAUUUAUUUCUGGAGGGUUUGAGAUGAUUUUUCUAUAGGUCUGGGAAAAUAGCAUGAGAAAAAUGUACAUAAAUUCAUGGCAAAGACAAACUUCUCUCUAGUCACCUGACCAUCCCACCAUCCCUCCCCACAAAUUCCUCCCUAGGAAUUCUUCUCUGUGACCCCUAUCACCGUCCUCCACAAGAGGAAAAAAGAUAUUUUAAAAAAGAAAAAAAGUAGAGCCCUACAUAUUCAGGUUAAUUAUUGUGAUUUGUGUAUCCUAGAGUAGAAUUUACACGUAUCACAGUUCAUGUUCAAAGUCAAACUCUUCUGGAGCUCAAAUUAUGUGCAUGGUCUCAAUUUAAGUUUACCAUGUGGUAUUCGAUGUAUGGUUUAAAAUCUCACAGCUUAUUUAUAAGGUAUUUGUCUUGAUAUACACAGAUUUAUAUCCUUCUGAGUGCAAACAACACUAGAAUCAAGUGUUGUUAAAUUACUUGUCAGCAUGCUGUUGGAGUGGGGGUGGGAAUGAUAGUAUAAUAACAGCCCCCUUUCCAAAUGGCAUUGCAAACUGUCACAAUACGGAGAUACUAAGAGGAGUGAGCCUGAAGUAUGGCGUGUGAAGGAUAUGUGAAUCUAGGCCAAGAAAUAUUUAAAGCUAAGGGAACAGAUGAGUAAAUAGUUGGAUUUGACCCAAGAUCUUUGAAAGGCUUUCAUUAAAUGGCUGCAAGAUGUACUUUGUAGAAUGUAAAUUCAGACUCUGACAUUUGCAACCUGUACACAGAGUUUCUAAUGAGCAAAUAAGGUCACUUGGAUGAUUCACUGGAGUGUGAUUGCUGAAGGCAGAGAUGUUGCUUUGAGUUACUCAGUUUACAGAAGCCUUUGAAGUGUGGUUAUUUAACACUGUGUUUCUUAGAAACUAUGUUUUCAGCAACAAAUAAAAACAAAGGACUUCAUUUCAGAUUAGCUAAAUGCCAGAUUCUAUCAAGAUUACAUACUUAAAGGUUAAUUUCUAGGCGAAAGAAAAAGAGCAUCUCAACUUCACUUUCCAGUUUUUCAAGUUAUCGAUGUUUUGAUAGAAAAACAAAUGCAAGGUAUCCUCAUAGGAGUUGUACACUAACUCUUCAACAGGUGUGUGCUGCUUCUUGUGUGUGUGUGUGUGUGUGUGUGAGUGUGUGUGCAUGUGCAUGUGUGCCUUGAUCCUGCAACUUAGUGAUGAUGUUCUUGAUGUGAACAAAGACAGAUAAUGCUACUGACAAUUUUAUAUUUGACAUUGGUCCUUUUGUAUCUAUAGCUUCAUAACAGAUGAAUAGUCAUUGCCUAGGUCAGCCGUGUUUAGUUUCCAGAGGACAGUGACACUUUUAAACAUUACUUAGAGACCCUUCUGAUCAUUUUUUACUGUUAAAAGGAUCUCUGUGAUUUAAUGAUAAUGACAGUGCCCCCACCUCUACUGGUAUUAAAAAGGCUAUAAUUUAGCUUCAUUUUUCUACCCAGGAAUUUGAGAUGAAUCACAAAGUGAGAAAAUGUUUUACACAAUUAAAAUUAUUGCAAUUGUGCCACCACUUUUUAGAUUGGUUCAGUAUAUAGUCAUAAGAUGUUAAGCAGUAGUAAUAAUGAGCAAGCCCUUACUGCACACAAAUGUUUUUAGUUUUAUUUUUUGUUUGUGUUGAGUAGCCGUCACAGUACGCUGAGAUAUCAAACAGCAUUGUUAUCUACAAACCGUAGAAGGAAUGCAUAGCUCAGUUGCACAGUGAUACUGUCCUCUAUUUUCCGAAACCUGUCUAGCCAUGGUUCAGUCAAGGUGUCUCUUUUAAUUCUUGUCUUUCUGGAGCAAAAAAAAAAUCAGAAAUAUUGUGACCUUUAAAAACAGUACAUACCCACCUAGUAAUAAGUAUCACUGAUAAUUUUGUGUGUGCUGGGGUGAUCAUUUUUACUAGUUGGUGUAGAAGGGAGCCCUGGUGACGCAGUGUUUAAGAGCUCGGCUACUAACCAAAAGGUCAGCAGUUUGAAUCCACCAGCUGUUCUUUGGAAAUUCUGUAGGGCAGUUCUGCUGUCCUGUAGGGUCUCUGUGAGUCAUGAUCACCUUAACAACAACAGUUUUGUUUUUUUUUCUUCUAUUAUAUAGAAAAAGGAGCCCUGGUUGUUUGGCGGUUAAGUACUCAGCUGCUAACCAAAAGGUAACAGCAUUGCAAAUAUGGAAGAAGACAUUUUACAAUGAAAACAUUGGCAUGAAAGAUUUCACAUCUAACCUUUCUUUUAAAAUAGUCCAUUAUUUUAUCUAAUAUAGAUGGUUCUCUUCCUUUUUAAAAAAUAAGUUAUAUUUAUGUCUGAUGCUAGCUUUGUUGUUGUUUUUAAUAGAUCAUUCUGUGUCUAAACUAAAUUUAUAAUAUUGAACAUUAAAUCACUUUUUCCUCUGGAUUUCAGUAGUUAUUGGCCUUUCUUUUUCAGUGAAUAUCUCUUUCCUGCCAGAAAGCUGUUUAGGUCUUCUAUAACUAAGAUAUUAUUUUCAUUUCCAUCAUUUCCUGUUAAGAUGUUCUAAUUCAGAAUCUUACUGGGUAAAAGGAAAUGGUCAGUGUUUUAUUUACAUCUGAAAAUACUUGAGGAUCCUAGAUGGCUUCUUAGAAUUAAGUCAUGAUUCAAGUAGAGGUUCUCUGUGGUUAUUUAAGGGCUCCCAAGUGUGUGUGGUUGCUAUAACCAAAAUGAAGAGCUAUUGUUUCUCCAUAAAAAGAUGGAGAAAGUAAUGAACAUUUUUUUUUUUUUUUCUAGGAAGUAAUGUCUUCAGUUGAAAUCAUGUGUAAGAACCAUCUCUAAUUCUAUUAAAUUUGCUUCUCUUGGGCUAAAGCUAUAGGGUUGCUGUGAGUCAGAAUUGACUGGAUGGCAACAGGUUUGUUUUUUUUUUGGAGGGGGGGCUAAAGAUGAAAAAAAUGCCUAAUUAAUGCAUAUAAGCAAAAAUUAAUCUCUGGAAUUAAUUAUGGUUCUUUUUUAUUGUCAUGAGGUAUCAACCAUUAAAUAAGGAAAGUGUUCUUUAGAUAUUAUCAAGUAAAAUGAUUUAAUGAAAAUAUAGCUUGAUUAAAUACAAUUAUAUUACUUUUCAUUGACAGACCAUGAGUGUUUUAUUACAGGAAUAUCACUUAAAACAAAAAUUAGCGUCUUUGUCCAUAAAGUUAUAAAAAUUAUUGUGAUUUUUUUUUUUCUUUUUUUUGUAUGAUGACUCAGGCAAGGUCAUCAUUGUAACUAUGGGCUUGAUAAAGAUGCCUCUAAACCUCCACGCCACCUUGACCUGUGCCACUGUGCCCGAUCACCAAGCAGAAUGGCUAGUGCAUAGCAUGGUGAUGUUUAAUGACUGUUAGGAAAUACUGGGCAGCAUAGGAUCAUAGAACUUUUAAAAGCUAUGAGAAUUGCAGAAUAGCCUAGUUCACUCCGUUCAGCUUAAAAGCAAUUAUCUUGGCUAGGAAAUACAGAAGAUUAUGUUAAGAGAUGGUUUCUCAGUUAGUACCAAGAGUUACAUUUGCAUCUCACUUUAUAGCGUAUGAAUGUUUUUAUUUACUUUCGUUCAUCUGAUCCUCACAUCAUCUCAGUGAUUCCGGUCAGGCAGACAUUCUUACCCAACACUAGAAAUGAAAAUCAAAAAGAUUUAUAGCUUUCCCAAAGCCCUGUCCCUAGUAAAUCAAUAAAUGUGAUUUAAAUCUGGUCCCUCUUUCCAGUACUCUUCUUCAUUUGGGCACCAGAUAAUUCAUCUUUUAUGUUGCACUGUAGAAAUGCUACUAAAACAGGUAAAGCAUGUCUCACUAAUUAUAAUUUUAUUUGUUUCUCUACUUUUAUUUGUGAAAGUUAAGGGUGCCUCUGGCUAAAUAUUUCCUACAGUGUUAUACUAAACUGGUCUCUGACGCGCAAAGUAUGAAUCAACUUAAGGUAUUUUUACAACUCAGUCACUUUAAAAGGGUAAGAUAAUUUUUAAGGAAAAAUAUGUCUCCUCAAAAUUUUUAUUAAACCAGAAUAUAAGCCUAAGAAUAUUUUGGCUUCAAGUACCGACCGGAAACUGUAGGUUCCACAAUAGGCAUUAGAGGAUAUUAGAGGAUAAAAGGGUUUUUGGACUAAAUAUCCCACAGAGAGUUGAAAGAUAAGAGCCUGGUUUCAUCAGCUUUCUUGAUGAUCUCUUGCUCAUGCGUUCCUUGACUAGUAGAAAUUAUGAUACGUACAUUCGCCCCAUUUUACUGACAGGUUACAGCAUAGGCGUUCUCAUUUAUUUUAGCCACACACAGUAGAUACAGCUUUCGACAGACUAAGGGAGAGGAAUUUCCCCGUAGAUUUAUAUUAGAAGCAUUUAAAGUUAUGUAUUUUCUUACUCUAAUAAUUUUGAAUGUAGAAAAUCUGUUCAUCUUGGGGUUUUGUCUUCUGGCAGCAUCAGAUAACUUAUAUACAGGAUGCUUAGAAUUGUCCUACAUGAUUUGAUUAAAUCUCUGCAGACCAUGGAGCCCUGGCCGGGCAGUGGUUAAGAGAUCAACUGUUAACCAAUAAGUUGGCAGUUCAAACCCACCAGCCACCCUGGGAAACUCUAUGGCGUAGUUCUAUCCUGUCCUGUAGGAUCAUUAUGAGUCGGAAUCGACUCAAGGGCAACAAGUUUGGUUUUUCUGGUUUUCUGCAUUGGAAUUUUAAUGAUAUAGACUGAAUGAAACUCAUAUUUGUGAAAUGACUGUAAAUAAAUUCAUAAUUAAAUCUUUAUAGGAUUUGAUUCAAAAACUGCCAGAAUUUUUGCACACUCAAUUAUGUAAAUGAUCUCCAUGUUUGACUAUGAUAGCGAAAACAUUUGUGGAUUUUUUUUUGAAUGGUACCACCAGGCAUUUUGCAGAAAUAGCAGCUUUACUCGUCACUUGUAUUAUUCUUUGCCACUUCUAACUGGCAAAAUUAAGCCAGUGUGACCUUUUUUUUUUUUUUAAAA
Long non-coding RNA from Loxodonta africana (African savanna elephant), 8856 nucleotides. RefSeq lists it as uncharacterized. The transcript has 2 exons. The record is from RefSeq and is a predicted model, not a curated record. Lineage: Eukaryota; Metazoa; Chordata; Mammalia; Proboscidea; Elephantidae.